Molecule: long non-coding RNA, 800 nt
Filed under: Salmo salar (Atlantic salmon)
Lineage: Eukaryota; Metazoa; Chordata; Actinopteri; Salmoniformes; Salmonidae
Description: lncRNA (ENSSSAG00000074065.2)
Source: RNAcentral
GAGAGAGUACAAGUCCUACACUGUCAUACAACACUGUUACAGUUAAUUGGUGGUUGUUCAGUGGGAACCUUCUCUCCUUCAUUAUGAGGAGAGGUGAGCGCCUAUCAGAUCCCCCUGCUGUCCUUCACCCCUUGGUGCAGUCUGCUGACUAUCGCUGGGGCCAGGAAGAAGUCCACCAGCCGAAAUAGGAGCCAAGUUCAUCGCCAUGCAAUGCUCUACUGACUGAGGUUGAAGGACCUCCCACCCUGACACCCUGCAGAUGUAAAGAACUUGUUGUGAACCUGCCAGCCACCAGGAUAAUCACCAUAUCCAAAUAGAUUAUUCAGGAGUGUGCAACAUCACAAUGUUGAAUAGAAAUAGAUUCACCCAUGUUAUUGUUUAUCAUGCAGAUGUUUCAGGACAUUGUAAUUUAUGAAGCCCAUUCUAAAGUACAGAUGUGAUUUCUCUCCCAGGAGAUUGCACCGUGUGCAAUUAGUUGAAUUAGGUGUUAGUGUAGGGCUAGAACAAAAACCUGUAAACUCCUGUCCUGUGUAUAAACAAAACCUGUGGCUGUCAUGACAAAAUUUGCCUUCAUGUACUGAACAAGCCUAUGAAUGUUGGAGGUUCAUCUCCUUGAGUUGUCCCUCACUUGGGAAUUACUUAUUUUGUAAAAGGACUGUGUUAUAAGGACUCAUGCAUGGAUACAGGAUUUAAUUCUAUAUAUUUUUUCAAAAUGACAAGUUUUGACUUCUCAAAUUUUGAGGCUUGGGCAUCUGGCGACUACAGUUCAUCUGUUGAAUCCCCUGCAAGGAGAGAGAAAG